CUCGGCGCCCGGGGCCGGCUGCGGGAAACGCUCGCACAGACAGAGACAGGCGCGCACCCGGGGGCGCACCCGGGGCCACACACGCCUCCCCAGGCGAUGGGGUCCAGGCGGCCCCGCCCGAAGGCUUCCGUCCGGCCAGCCCAUCCAGCCGCUGCCCCGCACCUGUCCCCGCCGCUCCGGACCCGCGGCCGCCCCCCGCGCACGCACACCGGGGACGGGACCCGGCGCCGCGACUCCCCACGCCCCGCAGGCGACGCCACCUUCGGCCGUAGCAGCCCGGGGUCCGAGGCAUCCCCCCUCGGAGCUGGCGCGGGACCCAGCGAACGGGCCCCGGGGCGGAGGGACGCUUCGGGACCCCACAGCCGCCGUGGGUCGGGCACCGGGGGCUCCAGGAGGCUCGCGGAGGGGUCGCCACUCACCAGCUGAAAAGCGCAGAGGACGACGAGCGCGCAGCGGCCGGAGCAGGAGCCCAUGGUGCCCGCCUAUACAGGAGGCCCCCGGGUGCCCCGCGCUCGGCCCCCGCCCCCGCUCCGCCCGCUCCCCACGCGCCGCAGCCUGGACCCCGCCCCCUCCGCAUCCCGUUCCCCCCUCCUCCCCGCAACCCCCGGCCCAGCCCCAGCCCCGGGUAACAGCUGCGCUGCGUCUCCCCUCCCACCCCCGCCUGCGGCCCCUGGGGGCUUCGCGCCGGCCGGAGAGGGGGACCGUUCUUAAAGGGGCGAUGGCGCGGCCUCUCGGGUAGCGAGGGGCGGCGCCGCGGCCCCAGGACAGACCUGCAGCUGAGGGGAGCCCGCCCUGGACGCGGCAGGGAUGACCGGCGUCCGCCCCCUCCUGCAGGAUGACCUGCCCAGCACCUGCUCCCGCCGUGCGCCCUCCGGCGUGAGAUCCCCAUCAACCUUCCCCGUGUGGGGUCUGAGCGACCCGCAUCCGCGAGGCGUUUUCUCUGAGAGUCUCAGAGAUUCCUUGGCUUGGAGAAGUCCUGGACCCGGGUCCAGAGCUCAGAGGUCCCCUCCACGGGCGGGCGGGCCGAGGACUCAGGAGGAGGGAGUGAGCCGGGCUCGCCCACCUCCCACAGGGAGCUCCUCUGCUGGAAGGCUGAGACCUGAAGGCCAGGUCUGCUCCAACUGCCUGGACCGGCCUCCUGCCUGCGCGGGAGGGGCCUAGGGAGCCUCGGGUUGGGACAGCCUGAGGCCUUGUGCACGGUGGAGGCAGGACCCAGCUGCCCAGGGCAGGUCCUGGGGUCUGGAUGGGGCUGAACCCCGUAAAGCCUGCGCUUCCGGAAGAAGCUUGCGCUGGAGGCAGGGAAGGGUCCCAGCCAGGCCCGAGAGGAGCAGGACGUGGAUACAGUGAGCCAGAGUGUCAGCCGGUCGGAAAGCCCAUGGGGGCAGAACAGCGGGAGAUCAGGGCAGGUGGCCGGGCCAGGGCUGCCACUUGGUCUUUACUCAGUGGCAGGGCAGGCUCCCUGACUGCCACCCACCGCCUGAGGAGCCUGAGAUGGGUUUCCCAUGGCAACCUGAAUUCCUGCCCCACUCGAGAUUUUAUGAAUUACUGAGGAUUCUUGCCUUCCUAAUUUUGGUUGUGUGUCCCACAGUCCCGGGGAUCAGGAGGGGUUAACAGAAGACCAAGGGUCAGGUUUUCUGCACUGCGGGGAGCCACCCCAGAUCUGUAGUCCAGGCUCAUGGGCGGGUGAGGGGGUAGCUUCCAAGCCCCAAAGGUUAGAGAGCAAAGGUGUGGCCAGUUGUGGAGGGAGGGGGAGCGUCAGGUUGUUUGCAGUGCUGGGGAGAUAAGAAUAUUCAGGAAUCAGAUGGUGGUGAUGGUUGCACAGCUCUGUGAAUAUACUGCAGCCCACUGAGCACUACACUGUAAAGGGGUGACUAUUAUGGUGUGAGGAUUAUAUCCCGAUUUUUAAAAGAUGUGAAAAAAUUAAUGUUUAUUUAUACGAUAUAUAAGACAUUGAUUUUUAAAUACAGCGGUACCAUCCCCGUCCCCCAUAACCCUGGUUCCUCCAGGCACUUGGAGCCAUUGGUGGAAGGACGUGGACUCCUAGAAGGUGAUUCGCAAAGGUGCCACGUAAGCAGAGGAGCCGGGUAAGCAGAGGCCCAGUGCCACGUAAGCAGAGGAAGGCCCGGAGCCGGCUGCUGAGGUCCUGAGGGAGAGGGAGGGGCACCUGCUCAGCCUUGCCUGUGUGUGUGGAUCCUUCUCUCUCAGGGGAAGCUGCCUGGACAUGCGUGCGCCUUGCAGUUCUGUCCUGCCAGGCUGCCUGCUCUUCCUCUUGAAAGCAAAAGACUUCACUUGCUGAGGAUGCAACGAUGCUCUAGUGUCCCUUGCAGGAGCCAGUGUCAGAGCCAGGAGCCGUCGUGGGCAUCCCCUGCUCCAAAGUUACGAGUUCUGGUGAAGGGGUCAGGACAGCCCCUUUGAGAGUUCAGCAGAGCAGGUCUGCACAGGUCCCACGCCGUGCACAGCCCACACUCCACCUGCCCUGGUGCACACUGACGGCAGCAGCCAGCCGCGGGGACCCCAGGCGCAGUGUUGCCUCGUGAACGUUAGAGCAGCCUCCAGAGGCGGGUUCGGUCUGCACACCUGGUUCGCGGGUGACACAGUUGUGACUUGGCCCAGGUCAGUUGUUGGGGCCUGGCCAGCUGUGGGUGGUGAGGUUUUCUCGGACGCUUCAUCUGCUCUCGUUCUUGUUCGAAUUCCUUCUGCCUAAGAAUGACAGCUUUAAAAGUGAAAUGGCAGCACGUCUCCAUCAUUACACAGAAUCCCAUGUGGGAAGACCCUAGUCGGAGGCCCCCACCCUUGCCCGGAACUGGACUUUGGGGCAGCAGCAAACUGCAGUGAGUGUGAGUCACACCUGAGGACAGGUGGGCUGUCUUCAGGCUCCCAACAGGUCUGUCGCUUAAGGGGCUGGGGAAUGGGGGCUGGAAUGCCACGGCCUGCCCACCUGGGGGACUCUGGGCAGAGCUGGAGCAGCCAGGCAGGAAAAUAUCCCCCAGUUUCCAGAGAGUAAAAGCUGAUGGUCCUGCUGAGGUGUGAAGGACAGUGACGGACAGUGAUGGAAGGUGAUGGACAGAGGAGGACAGUGAUGGACAGAGGAGGGCAGUGAUGGACAGUGACGGGCAGUGAUAGACAGCAACAGAGAGUGGAGGACAGUGAUGAACAGCAACAGACAGUGGAGGGCAGUGAUGGACAGUGGAGGACAGUGGAGGAUAGCAGAGGGCAGUGAUGGACAGUAAUGGACAGCAAAGGACAGUGAGGGACAGCAGAGGACAGUGAUGGACAGCGGAGGACAGUGAUGGGCAGCGGAGGACAGUGAUGGACAGUGGAGGACAGUGAUGGAGAGCAGAGGACAGUGAUGGACAAUGGAGGACAGUGGAGGACAGUGAUGGACAGUGGAGGACAGUGAUGGACAGCGGAGGACAGUGAUGGCGAGCGGAGGACAGUGAUGGAGAGCGGAGGACAGUGAUGGACAGCGGAGGACAGUGAUGGCGAGCGGAGGACAGUGAUGGACAGCGGAGGACAGUGAUGGACAGCGGAGGACAGUGAUGGACAGCGGAGGACAGUGAUGGAGAACGGAGGACAGUGAUGGACAGCGGAGGACAGUGAUGGACAGAGGAGGACAGUGAUGGAGAGUGGAGGACAGUGAUGGACAGCGGAGGACAGUGAUGGACAGUGGAGGACAGUGAUGGAGAACGGAGGACAGCGAUGGACAGCGGAGGACAGCGAUGGACAGCGGAUGACAGUGGAGGACAGCGGAUGACAGUGGAGGACAGUGGAGGACAGCGAUGGACAGUGGAGGACAGUGAUGGACAGCGGAGGACAGUGAUGGACAGUAAUGGACAGUGAUGGACAGCGGAGGACAGUGAUGGACAGCGGAGGACAGCGAUGGACAGUGGAGGACAGUGAUGGACAGUGGAGGACAGUGAUGGACAGAGGAGGACAGUGAAAGACAGAGAAGGACAGCAAUGGAAGGACAGCCACCCCAGUCAGCACAAACGCAGGCCGAGUGGGGCCCAUGCAUUCCUGGGAGGACUGGCAAGCUGGGAAAGGCCUCCAGGGCAGGGAAACUCAGGAGAGUGACAGCUUGUUCAGGCCAGGACCUUGUGCAUCUUCUCCUUUUUUCUUUCUUAGUAAACCCAGUGUAUUCAUUUUUAGCGGCUGCCAUAACAAAUUCCCAUAAACUAGCGGCUUGAAGCCACGGAAGUUUAUUACGUCACAGUUGUGGAGGCUAGACAUCUAACAUCCAGGUAUGGGCAGGGUUGCACUGCCUUCGAAGCUCUGGGGAGGGUCCUUCCUGCCCCUCCCAGCUCCUGUGGCUCCCAGCGUCCUUAGCCUGUGGGCGUUAUCGCUCUGGUCUUUGCCUCCACCUUUGCGUGACCUCCUCCUCUCCUGUGUGUCACUUGCUAUGAUGCUUGUGAUGCCAUUUAGGGCCCACCUAUGUAAUCCAGCAUGCUCUCAUGUCAAGAUCCCUAAUCACAUCUGCAAAGAACCUUGCCCCAAACUCCUGGCUUCAAGCAAUUCUCCUGCCUUGGCCUCCCAACAUGCUGGGUUUGCAGGUGUGAGCCACUGUGCCAGGCCUAGAUUUGGGGGCCACCAUUCAGUCGCUGCUCUCCCACACCUGCAGCAGCCCCAGCCCGCCCGCAGGGCAGACCUUCCUUGUGGCAGAGACAACAGGAAAAGGAAAGGAAGAGGAACCCAGGCCUGGGUUCCCGGCAGAGCUGUCCGCAGAGCCUGUGCGGGGCUGCAAAGGCCCCUCUGUUGUCACAACACCCCUGUCCCCGUUUCAGAUGAAACCGGGAGAACUUUCAACUGCAACAAACACUCCUGGAAAAGGAGAGGCCAAUCCCCAUGGCUCCACAGAGAGCACAGCCAGACCCCUUCAUCCAGGCCCACAGGCAAUGUUGUCGACUCUGUUCUUCCUUUGAAAAAAAAGGGUGCUGGUUGGUUUCCAGUUUACUGCAGACACACAGAGAGGCCCCUCUCUGGCUCAGAGCCUGGCCCGGGUCUCUCCAGUCCCAGCUUCUCCCUCCCGAAAGGAACGUCCUGCCCAACAAUGCAACACGUGUGUGCACUCCCAGUGUGGGAAUCAGGCUGAGCUGGACUUCAGGGGCAGCCCAGGAUGCUUGCCUCGGGUGGGGCGUUUUCCCAGAGGUUUCUUGGGAGCUGCCUGGGAGUUGCCGCAGCUUCUUCCCAGCUGGCUUCAGCCCAGGCUUCCUGGGUGAGAUUCUUGUUCCCUGGCCCCUCACGGUACGCGUGGUCCUGUUCCCCGCAAUCCCCCACCCCCUUGAACUCCGUUCCCACACUCAGGACCCACCCAGAUGCCAGCUCCCCGCAGAGCAGUGCAGCCCCCCACUUCCAGCCCUGACGGCACACACCCUGCCCCCCACCACCAUUUUGGAAUUGUUCUUCGCCAGAAAUACCGUUUCCCACCCUGUCUUCUUAUUCUCGGAGGCAGAGGCACUUCAGCUUCCUGGGCCGUCUGUCACUGAGUCACCCUGGUUUCCAUUGGCAGUGCCGCCUCUCCCUCACUCGGAUGCUUCUGUGCAGCCACACGGGCUGUGUGUGCAACCUCAGGGGACGCAUCAACCACGUCCUCGGGCUGGCCGUAGAGACAUGGCCUCCGCCUGAGUGUGGCCGUCAGACUCUCCCUGGUACUAUAAGCCCUCGGCUGAGGGGGCAGAGGGGCAGCUAGGAUCAUGGCCGCAGCUCCCAGAGGGGAGCCCCCAUCCUCCAGGCCGUCUUACCGAGCCUGCUCCCCAGCCUGCGCCUUUCCUGACUUCCCUCCAGGCUCCUGUUGCUGGCGACCACAGAACCAGCCUCAGGGCUUUCCUGUCCUUCCUGUCAGGGGUCCUUUCCCAGUGGGAGCUCUGGGCGGGUGGGCCUGUCCCAGGAGAGUCACGUAGCUUGUUUAAGGAGAAGAUCCCCAUGGCUCUUGUGUGCACAUGUGGGGCCUCUCUCCCCAGGGGCUGCUGUGAGCCUGGGAAGUCCCAGGUGGUGUCUCAUGCCCCAGAGAGUAGCCCCCUGUGCACCUCGCACACGCCCUCCUGCGGGUCUGCUGACUUUCUCCUCUGCCUCAGCCAAGUCUCCCACGCGGAGCAGGUGGGAACUGAAUGAAGGCCUCACAGGAUUCUGAGUCCCCGGUCUGACACCCACCUGGCUCAGCACCUGCCUCCUCAGCUUCCAGUUGCACGGGUGGCCGCAGGCGUCAGGGUGUGACGGCGAGCGUGGCCAGUCCGGUCAGAGGUCUCUGCAUCCUCCACACCUCUGGCCAGGUGAGACCCAGCCUGUGUCUCUCCCAGCUCUACUGACGGACGGCAGGAAGCUGAGACCCCGAGCCCGUGUGUCCUCGGUUCUUGGUGCUUUGCAAUGCCCCUGGCCCUGGCUGCAGCCGCCCCCUGGCUGGGCCCCGAGCCUGUCUGCCCUGCAACACUCACCCUUCAUGAAGAGGGAGCCUCAGCCGAGAGGAGAGCAAAUAAGUGUAAGGGGAGAGGGUGCUUCCUGAGACACGCGGUGGGCCCAGGGCUCCUGCCUUGGCCAUUCCGUCCAUCUGUGGGAGGGCCUUGGCCUCUCUGCUUUUGGAGCAGGGCGCUGGGGCUAGGGGAUUGCAGCCACAGCCACUCUACUGCACUGGUUGGGAGCUCGGAUCACCUGGGUGCAGAGGAAGCUUUGACGGCAAGGGUUGGUGUGGCUCAUCUCGCCCACCCCACAGCCAUCGCCGCCCCGCAGACACCUCUGGAUCCCGGCCUGCCGUCCCUCCUCCCGAGCCUACAUUAGGCUCCAUCCUUCCCCAGGCCCCAUGCCACCAGCAAGAACAGCCCAGCCAAUGCAGACUGCACCCCUCGGCCUCGGCCGGGACCGAGCACACUGCCCUGUGUGCUCUCCCUGGCCCCUGAGGCAGGUGGCCUGACCCCUGUCUUCAGAGGGGAAAGCUGAGUCUCGGGAAGGCCACACAGCCGAGGAGUGGGGGCAGAAAGAACCCAGCUCUGCGUCAGGCUGUGUCAAGCCGACAUUUAGUGCCUAGCAGCAGCCACGGCCUCUGCAGGGCUUCCUGGAGCAGGUGUGGGCUCUUCCAGCACAGAGCAUGGGCUGCACCAGCUUCGGGGUGCACCGCGUACAGGUUAGGGCUGUGGCUGUGGCUGCUGGCUGACACCAGGAGUAAACGUGGACACCAGACCAGCGCAGCCUAGACCCAGCUGGGUGGCAGGUGCUGCCAGUGCGUCUCGAGGGGGCAGCAGGGUCAGCUGCAGAUGAGGCUGCCCCAGGACUGGCUGCCAGCCCUCAAAGAGCCCCCUGGGUCCCCCCGGCACAACUCUCUGCAUGAAGCCCCCAGCAGGAGAAGGGCUCACUGCCCUGAGCCCGACACAGUACGAGACGGAGGCCUCACUGAGUCCAGGCCCCGCACUGGCCCUCCCCUGGAUCCUGAGUCCAGGCCCCAAGCCAGCCCCUCCCCUGGAUCUCCCCAGACCCUCUCUGUGGGAACCCAGGGGCUGGAGCCGCUCGACUACAUCUUGGUAGCUCUCAUUUGGGACCUCAUCUUUAAUCUCAGCAACUCAGGGAUCAAAGAGAAAAGGCCGAGGCAGGCGAGGCCAGGGUUUCUUGCUCAAGCAUUCGGAUCAUUAAACAAACGAAAAAAAUCAAAGAGAA
Long non-coding RNA from Homo sapiens (human), 7638 nucleotides. Ensembl lists it as uncharacterized. Lineage: Eukaryota; Metazoa; Chordata; Mammalia; Primates; Hominidae. The record is from Ensembl.